This 58-nucleotide small RNA is filed under the name Sinorhizobium meliloti 2011. RNAcentral describes it as "putative ncRNA". The record is from RNAcentral. Lineage: Bacteria; Pseudomonadati; Pseudomonadota; Alphaproteobacteria; Hyphomicrobiales; Rhizobiaceae.
AACUGGAACACCUGGGCGAUGUUGCGCUGCUGCGUCGUCAGAUGCGUGACGUCGGUUC